RNAcentral lists this ribosomal RNA (471 nucleotides) under uncultured bacterium. RNAcentral describes it as "bacterial SSU rRNA". It matches the Rfam family "Bacterial small subunit ribosomal RNA", at positions 335 to 799 of the family's 1533-position model. The record is from RNAcentral.
ACUCCUACGGGAGGCAGCAGUGGGGAAUAUUGCACAAUGGGCGCAAGCCUGAUGCAGCCAUGCCGCGUGUGUGAAGAAGGCCUUCGGUUGUAAAGCACUUUCAGUCGUGAGGAAGGUAGUGUAGUUAAUAGCUGCAUUAUUUGACGUUAGCGACAGAAGAAGCACCGGCUAACUCCGUGCCAGCAGCCGCGGUAAUACGGAGGGUGCGAGCGUUAAUCGGAAUUACUGGGCGUAAAGCGCAUGCAGGUGGUUUGUUAAGUCAGAUGUGAAAGCCCGGGGCUCAACCUCGGAAUAGCAUUUGAAACUGGCAGACUAGAGUACUGUAGAGGGGGUAGAAUUUCAGGUGUAGCGGUGAAAUGCGUAGAGAUCUGAAGGAAUACCGGUGGCGAAGGCGGCCCCCUGGACAGAUACUGACACUCAGAUGCGAAAGCGUGGGGAGCAAACAGGAUUAGAUACCCUGGUAGGACAGUG